AUUGAACGCUGGCGGCAUGCCUUACACAUGCAAGUCGAACGGCAGCACGGGAGCAAUCCUGGUGGCGAGUGGCGAACGGGUGAGUAAUGUAUCGGAACGUGCCCAGUCGUGGGGGAUAACGCAGCGAAAGCUGUGCUAAUACCGCAUACGAUCUAUGAAUGAAAGCGGGGGAUCGCAAGACCUCGCGCGAUUGGAGCGGCCGAUAUCAGAUUAGGUAGUUGGUGGGGUAAAGGCCCACCAAGCCAACGAUCUGUAGCUGGUCUGAGAGGACGACCAGCCACACUGGAACUGAGACACGGUCCAGACUCCUACGGGAGGCAGCAGUGGGGAAUUUUGGACAAUGGGCGAAAGCCUGAUCCAGCCAUUCCGCGUGCAGGAUGAAGGCCCUCGGGUUGUAGACUGCUUUUGUACAGAACGAAAAGGUUUCUACUAAUACUAGGAGCUCAUGACGGUACUGUAAGAAUAAGCACCGGCUAACUACGUGCCAGCCGCCGCAGUAA
This 500-nucleotide ribosomal RNA is filed under the name uncultured bacterium. Its description in RNAcentral is "partial 16S ribosomal RNA". It matches the Rfam family "Bacterial small subunit ribosomal RNA", at positions 30 to 523 of the family's 1533-position model. The record is from RNAcentral.